GUCUUCCCUGAUCAGAGGAAUUAACAAGUUGUAGUUAGGUUCUUCAACAAAUAUGAUGAGACACUCAAGAUACACACAGAAAUCAGCAAGGAGUUUUUUCACACCAA
Long non-coding RNA from Saccostrea cuccullata (small rock oyster), 107 nucleotides. RefSeq lists it as uncharacterized. The record is from RefSeq and is a predicted model, not a curated record. The transcript is spliced from 3 exons. NCBI's taxonomy places the organism in Eukaryota, Metazoa, Mollusca, Bivalvia, Ostreida, Ostreidae.